UUAAGUAGACCGCCUGGGGAGUACGGCCGCAAGGUUAAAACUCAAAUGAAUUGACGGGGGCCCGCACAAGCGGUGGAGCAUGUGGUUUAAUUCGAUGCAACGCGAAGAACCUUACCUGGUCUUGACAUCCACAGAAGUUUGCAGAGAUGCGAAUGUGCCUUCGGGAACUGUGAGACAGGUGCUGCAUGGCUGUCGUCAGCUCGUGUUGUGAAAUGUUGGGUUAAGUCCCGCAACGAGCGCAACCCUUAUCCUUUGUUGCCAGCGAUUAGGUCGGGAACUCAAAGGAGACUGCCAGUGAUAAACUGGAGGAAGGUGGGGAUGACGUCAAGUCAUCAUGGCCCUUACGACCAGGGCUACACACGUGCUACAAUGGCGCAUACAAAGAGAAGCGACCUCGCGAGAGCAAGCGGACCUCAUAAAGUGCGUCGUAGUCCGGAUUGGAGUCUGCAACUCGACUCCAUGAAGUCGGAAUCGCUAGUAAUCGUGGAUCAGAAUGCCACGGUGAAUACGUUCCCGGGCCUUGUACACACCGCCCGUCACACCAUGG
This 547-nucleotide ribosomal RNA is filed under the name Salmonella enterica. RNAcentral's name for it is "bacterial SSU rRNA". It matches the Rfam family "Bacterial small subunit ribosomal RNA", at positions 860 to 1407 of the family's 1533-position model. Lineage: Bacteria; Pseudomonadati; Pseudomonadota; Gammaproteobacteria; Enterobacterales; Enterobacteriaceae. The record is from RNAcentral. RNAcentral also lists the same sequence under 4 other names.